AUUGAACGCUGGCGGCAGGCCUAACACAUGCAAGUCGAACGGUAACAGGAAACAGCUUGCUGUUUCGCUGACGAGUGGCGGACGGGUGAGUAAUGUCUGGGAAACUGCCUGAUGGAGGGGGAUAACUACUGGAAACGGUAGCUAAUACCGCAUAACGUCGCAAGACCAAAGAGGGGGACCUUCGGGCCUCUUGCCAUCGGAUGUGCCCAGAUGGGAUUAGCUUGUUGGUGGGGUAACGGCUCACCAAGGCGACGAUCCCUAGCUGGUCUGAGAGGAUGACCAGCCACACUGGAACUGAGACACGGUCCAGACUCCUACGGGGGGCAGCAGUGGGGAAUAUUGCACAAUGGGCGCAAGCCUGAUGCAGCCAUGCCGCGUGUAUGAAGAAGGCCUUCGGGUUGUAAAGUACUUUCAGCGGGGAGGAAGGGAGUAAAGUUAAUACCUUUACUCAUUGACGUUACCCGCAGAAGAGGCACCGGCUAACUCCGUGCCAGCAGCCGCUGUAA
This 506-nucleotide ribosomal RNA is filed under the name uncultured bacterium. RNAcentral describes it as "partial 16S ribosomal RNA". It matches the Rfam family "Bacterial small subunit ribosomal RNA", at positions 30 to 523 of the family's 1533-position model. The record is from RNAcentral.